This 253-nucleotide ribosomal RNA is filed under the name uncultured bacterium. RNAcentral describes it as "partial 16S ribosomal RNA". It matches the Rfam family "Bacterial small subunit ribosomal RNA", at positions 524 to 775 of the family's 1533-position model. The record is from RNAcentral.
UACGUAGGGCGCAAGCGUUGUCCGGAAUUAUUGGGCGUAAAGAGCUCGUAGGCGGUUCAGUAAGUCAGGUGUGAAAUCUUUGGGCUUAACCCAAAGCGUGCACUUGAUACUGCUGUGACUUGAGUUCGGUAGGGGAGUGGGGAAUUCCUAGUGUAGCGGUGAAAUGCGCAGAUAUUAGGAGGAACACCGGUGGCGAAGGCGCCACUCUGGGCCGAAACUGACGCUGAGGAGCGAAAGCGUGGGUAGCAACAGG